This 90-nucleotide transfer RNA is filed under the name Gammaproteobacteria bacterium. RNAcentral describes it as "tRNA-Ser". It matches the Rfam family "tRNA". From Rfam's summary of the family: Transfer RNA (tRNA) molecules are approximately 80 nucleotides in length. Their secondary structure includes four short double-helical elements and three loops (D, anti-codon, and T loops). RNAcentral also lists the same sequence under 2 other names. Lineage: Bacteria; Pseudomonadati; Pseudomonadota; Gammaproteobacteria. The record is from RNAcentral.
GGAAGGGUGCCAGAGCGGACGAAUGGAACGGUCUCGAAAACCGUCAGGGGUGCAAGCCUCUCGGGGGUUCAAAUCCCCCCCCUUCCGCCA